RNAcentral lists this ribosomal RNA (1083 nucleotides) under Ganoderma sp. 3 YD-2015. Its description in RNAcentral is "partial small subunit ribosomal RNA". It matches the Rfam family "Bacterial small subunit ribosomal RNA", at positions 15 to 1294 of the family's 1533-position model. The record is from RNAcentral. Lineage: Eukaryota; Fungi; Basidiomycota; Agaricomycetes; Polyporales; Polyporaceae.
AUUUUUGGGUCAGAUUGAACGUUUUUCAGUAGUUUAAGACAUGCAAAUCGUUGUUUCCAACGUCCUUUUUAUAAUUAAUAUUAUAAUGUCAAUGGGAUUAGGGGAUAAGGUGUAGAGGUGAGUAUGUUAAAUAAGAUACCCUAUAGUCUUCUUAGCUAGGAGAUAUAAAGUAAAGGAAAAUUUCUGCUGUGGGAUUCUAUUUAAUUUGAUUAGGUAGUUGAUAGGGUAACGGCCUACCAAGCCAACGAUCAAAAGUCAAGUUUGAAAGAACCUCUGGCCACAUUGGGGAUGAAAUCUCCCAAGUAGUAAUAACACUACCAGCAGUCGAGAAUAUUAGUCAAUGCUCGUAAGAGUGAACUAGCUAACUGAAAUCAUAGAAUUUCUUUAAAUUCAUGAUGUCGUAAGGGAAAAUAAUGAUAAUACCUUACUAUGAGUGUCGUCCAAAGCUGGUGCCAGAAGACUCGGUAAGACCAGAGACGCAAACGUUAAUCAUCAUAAACAGGCGUAAAGGGUUUGUAGGCAGCUUUUAUAAGGUUACGAUUGCAAAUAAAGGGUAAUCUACAUUGAAAGCUAGAAUCAAAAAGAGGUUAUAGUGUAUAACGCCUAGAGGAGGGCUGAUAUCCAUAGAUCCUAGGCAGAAUACUCAGGGCGAAGGCCACUCUCCAUUAAUGAUUGACGCUGAGAAACGAAGGUUAGGGUAGGAAAUAGGAUUAGAUACCCCGGUACUCCUUUCUGUAAACGAUGAAUGGUAGUCAUUAGUUUAAUUAAAUAACUAGAGGCGAAGUUAACACAAUAACCAUUCCGCCUUGUGAGUACUACUUAGGAGUAUUUUAUCAUUUAAAUACUUAAGUACAGGUGUUGCAUGGCUGUCUUCAGUUCGUGUUGUUAAACAUUAGGUUAAUUCCACUAACGAACGAAAUCCCUGUUAUUAAUUUACACUUACUAACUAAUGAAUCUGAUAGAGAUUUAGCGGGGGCUAAGACAAGUCGUUAUGGCCCUCAUGUUCUGGGCUGAUAUGUGUUUUGGGAAAACACUAAAUUGGCUGAAACUAUCAAACUCCGGGGACACCCUAAAGCUUAUGAU